This 494-nucleotide ribosomal RNA is filed under the name uncultured bacterium. RNAcentral describes it as "partial 16S ribosomal RNA". It matches the Rfam family "Bacterial small subunit ribosomal RNA", at positions 28 to 507 of the family's 1533-position model. The record is from RNAcentral.
GACGAACGCUGGCGGCGUGCUUAACACAUGCAAGUCGAACGGUGAAGCGCCUUCCUUUUUGGUGGGUGUGGAUGAGUGGCGAACGGGUGAGUAACACGUGAGUAACCUGCCCCCUUCUUCUGGAUAACCGCAUGAAAGUGUGGCUAAUACGGGAUAUUCUGGGUCUGUCGCAUGAUGGGUCUGGGAAAGAUAUUGUUUCGGUGGGGCAUGGGCUCGCGGCCUAUCAGCUUGUUGGUGGGGUGAUGGCCUACCAAGGCGGUGACGGGUAGCCGGCCUGAGAGGGUGGACGGUCACACUGGGACUGAGACACGGCCCAGACUCCUACGGGAGGCAGCAGUGGGGAAUAUUGCACAAUGGGCGCAAGCCUGAUGCAGCGACGCCGCGUGAGGGAUGGAGGCCUGCGGGUUGUGAACCUCUUUCGCCAGUGAAGCAGGCCUGCCUCGUUUGUGGGUGGGUUGACGGUAGCUGGAUAAGAAGCGCCGGCUAACUACGUG